This 253-nucleotide ribosomal RNA is filed under the name uncultured bacterium. Its description in RNAcentral is "partial 16S ribosomal RNA". It matches the Rfam family "Bacterial small subunit ribosomal RNA", at positions 524 to 776 of the family's 1533-position model. The record is from RNAcentral.
UACGUAGGGUCCGAGCGUUGUCCGGAAUUAUUGGGCGUAAAGAGCUCGUAGGCGGUUUGUCGCGUCUGCUGUGAAAUCCCGAGGCUCAACCUCGGGCCUGCAGUGGGUACGGGCAGACUGGAGUGCGGUAGGGGAGAAUGGAAUUCCUGGUGUAGCGGUGGAAUGCGCAGAUAUCAGGAGGAACACCAAUGGCGAAGGCAGCACUCUGGGACGUGACUGACGCUGAGACGCGAAAGCGUGGGGAGCAAACAGG